AACGCACAUUGCGCCCCUUGGUAUUCCAUGGGGCAUGCCUGUUCGAGCGUCAUUUGUACCCUCAAGCUUUGCUUGGUGUUGGGCGUUUUGUCUGUUUAUUCAGACUCGCCUUAAAGUCAUUGGCAGCCAGUGUUUUUGGUAGUAAGCGCAGCACAUUUUGCGUCUUAGUCUCUAAACAGUGGCAUCCAUGAAGCCUCUUUCUCACUUUUGACCUCGGAUCAGGUAGGGAUACCCGCUGAACUUAA
This 245-nucleotide unclassified non-coding RNA is filed under the name uncultured Pleosporales. Its description in RNAcentral is "sequence contains ITS2". Lineage: Eukaryota; Fungi; Ascomycota; Dothideomycetes; Pleosporales. The record is from RNAcentral.